GAUCCUGGCUCAGAACGAACGUCUGGCGGCAGGCCUAACACAUGCAAGUCGAGCGCGCCCUUCGGGGUGAGCGGCGGACGGGUUAGUAACGCGUGGGAACGUACCCUUUGGUAGGGAAUAGCCACUGGAAACGGUGAGUAAUACCCUAUGAGCCCUUCGGGGGAAAGAUUUAUCGCCAAAGGAUCGGCCCGCGUUAGAUUAGGUAGUUGGUGGGGUAAUGGCCUACCAAGCCUACGAUCUAUAGCUGGUUUUAGAGGAUGAUCAGCAACACUGGGACUGAGACACGGCCCAGACUCCUACGGGAGGCAGCAGUGGGGAAUCUUGGACAAUGGGGGCAACCCUGAAUCCAGCCAUGCCGCGUGAGUGAAGAAGGCCUUAGGGUCGUAAAGCUCUUUCGCCUGUGAAGAUAAUGACGGUAGCAGGUAAAGAAACCCCGGCUAACUCCGUGCCAGCCGCCGC
RNAcentral lists this ribosomal RNA (459 nucleotides) under uncultured bacterium. RNAcentral's name for it is "bacterial SSU rRNA". It matches the Rfam family "Bacterial small subunit ribosomal RNA", at positions 15 to 518 of the family's 1533-position model. The record is from RNAcentral.